Molecule: long non-coding RNA, 2916 nt
Organism: Carassius gibelio (silver crucian carp)
Lineage: Eukaryota; Metazoa; Chordata; Actinopteri; Cypriniformes; Cyprinidae
Exons: 6
Source: RefSeq, a predicted model, not a curated record
UGUGUGUGCGUGUGUGUGUGUGUGUGUGUGUGUGUGGGUACCUGAGUAUGCGCUGCAGGAUGCAGGUGUCUGCAGGUGUGCCGCAGCUUUAUUUGCUCCAGCGCAGCUCCAGGGAGCUUCUGUGCGUGACGGCAGCGAGGACAGGGUGUGAGCGGUGGUCUGUGUGUGUGUGUAGGACUCAGACCCGGGGCUCUGCUCCCGACAGGACGACAGGCAGGGACCUGACUUCCACGAGGGACUCUCUGGUUUAUCAGCAUGCCGCGAGGUCUAGAAACCAGAAGCGCCUGAUGUUACAAACGUCAGAAGCCACACUCGUCUGCCGGUUCCCGGCUGUUUUCGUGAGUCUUGAGGAGCUGCAAGGCUCGAGGAAUUAUAGGAGAGAGACGGUCUGGAUCUGAUCUGGUCCUGAGAGAACUGCAUCUCUUUAUAUUCCACAUCCCUACACAGAUACAAGACGGCAUUAAUGUGAACAGGUUUCUGUGUGAACAGAAACCCUGAAACACACAGACGUGCUGAUGGAGGUGAAAGGUCACUCACGUGAGGACAUAGUUGACGCUGACGAUGCAGUGCGGCCGAGAAGAGCGACUGUUGUGAACGAUGGUGGCACAGCUCUGCACCCAAACCCAGCCGCCGUGUUUGGAAAGCAUCCGACACAUUAGGAAUCAGCAGUGGUUCUCAAUGUUCUUGGAGUACAAACAAAACACUGCACAUCUACUGUCUGCCUGAUCAAAUACAGUCAGAGCUGGGACAGGUGUCUGAUCUUCAGAGUAUCUGAUGAAGCGCAUGCAGCAACUCACGUGAAUGAUGUGCGUAUCGCAGCUGGAAGACGUCACAGACGUGGACGUGAUGGUACAGAGUCUUCUCAAUCAGAUCCUGCGGCUCGUAACCCGUUAACUCAGCCACCCUGACACAUGAAGAAAGUGCUUUCAUUCACUGUGGAUCUCAAGAAACGGCAGUUUGAGCAGAUCUGUGCUGUUUUUGUGUUUAUACCACUGGCUAGAAAUGUUUAAUGGUUAAGAAUCACAGCUGAUAUUUCUCCGGUUCAUUCAGGACUGAAAGUACAAGUCAGUGUGGAAAUGGAAGAUCGUCAUUCUGCGUGGGUUCUGCGUGUCUUAAAAAAAUCUUUAUUCACAGAAUUAAAAUCAGAGAUAAAGUUGUGGUAUUAAAUGUUGCCUGAACUGCUGAAAAUGAAUCUCUUCCUCAGUUUUCCAGUACAAAUAUCUAAACAUCCUUAAAUCAAGAAUCAUUUACUGAAGAUGAGAAGUCAUGUUUUCUGAGAAACUGAACAAAAUGAAGUGAGUUUAUGAUUAAAACAAGAGCUAAUAUCUUCAAUUGACGAAUAAAACUUUUUUUGAUUUUUUCUGAGCUCACUGACAGAUAUUUACUUUAGUUUUAUCUUUUUAGUUUUUUGUUUUAUUUUAUCUUAAAAAAGACUUAGUAAUUUCUCAUCUGCAGUAAAUGAUUCUGAUUUUAAAAUCUUUUCACCGGAAAGCAAGAAAGAAAUACUUGUUUAAAGUGUGAGCAGAAGUGCAGUAAGUUAUUUCUCUAGUAGUUAAUCUGAAGCUUUAGGUUUUUUUUUAAUUAAAGAGAAAUGGAGAUCUAUCAUAAGCUGUAUUUUCAAACUUUAAAUUAUUGCUAAUACAAUAGUCACAUUAAGAGAUCAUAACGACAAAUUGUGUUCCCCAGUUUAUUUUUUUACUUCUUACUUGGUCUUAAAACACUUUCAAUUUGCUUUCAAAAAACCUGCAGAAACCCUGGUCAAGCGGAGCACAGUGCAUUGUGGGAUACAUUAGUAUAUUCAGUGUCUUGCAGGUAAUCUGUGCAUGCUGAGACCCCUUCUCAUGUGGGUUGAGCUGAAGCUCACCUGCUGUCCAGAAAGAUGAGUUUGAGGUCCAGACUGGCGCGGAACAUGAACAUGUUGCUGUGGAGUUUGAUCUCGGUGACGCCGCUGGGAGGAAGAGACUGACCGACCGCCACCAGCCCCACGAUCUGAUAGCACGACUCGUACAGAGACACAUCCAUCACCACCUGACGGAACUUCAGGAAGUGUGGCUGCAGCGGCUGGUGUGCGCUCAGCACGGUGCUCAUCUCGUCGUGGUCUGAUGGAUGAAUGUACUCAAAGAUGCUGUUACCGCAGGGCACACCAGACACAGGGAAGGUCACUCCACAGCACUUCAGCGACAAAUGAGUUUCUGCGCAGCUGCGGCGCGGUGUGAUAAUCUCGUCUUUGUAGCGCCGUGGCGCAUUCGUGAAGGAAUGUGCACUUUACUAACCAUACUAUGUGCUUCACUUCAAUCUGGAGUCCUGCUGCACACUUGCGCACAAUAAAGUCCUGUCAGAGUCCCAGCAUAAUGAGAUCCCUGUCCACGCGGCUCUGAGCUCGGUCUCAGACGCUCUGCUCACAUUCUGCUCGUCCUACAGUAACCAGCUCAUUCAGAUGCUCAGUAGUCAGCACACACAGGUGUUCCUGCACUAACAGCAUCAUUUGCGUUGUCUUUAACUAGACAAUAAACACAGCGUUGUCCCCUGAACUCACCCGUGGAGAUCUUGAGCAACACAGAGAGCAUCCUGGAGCUCCACACAGUCCUUUUACUUCAUCAAGGUCACUGUCGACAACUGCACCAUAUUCUUCUUUUAAUGCUCCUCAACUAGUUAAAAAUGUUAGGCACUAAUAUCUCCUGACUGUAAGAUGUAAAUAUUUAAUGUCAGUCAUUGUUUUUAUUAUCUUGAUGUGUGACUGCAUUAGUUAACUGAACAGAUAAUAAAGGAGAAACUGAAAUAUGUUUGAUUUCUUUGUCUCCUAUUCUUUCCAUUUUUUUGGGUACAAAUUAAAUCCCUCAACCCUGAUACCAACAAGCCCUAAGGAUAACAUGCUGACCAUUAAUUUCCAUGAAACAGCAUAUCUUUGACUUGAUC